GACGAACGCUGGCGGCGUGCUUAACACAUGCAAGUCGAACGGAAAGGCCUGCUUUCCCUUGUGGAUUGCGGGUACUCGAGUGGCGAACGGGUGAGUAACACGUGAGUGAUCUGCCCCCAACUUGGGUAUAAGCCUGGGAAACUGGGUCUAAUUCCCGAUAGGACUGCAGGGUGGUGCCUGUGGUGGAAAACGAUUUUCUAGUGGUUGGGGAUGAGCUCGCGGCCUAUCAGCUUGUUGGUGGGGUAAUGGCCUACCAAGGCGGCGACGGGUAGCCGGCCUGAGAGGGUGGACGGCCACAUUGGGACUGAGAUACGGCCCAGACUCCUACGGGAGGCAGCAGUGGGGAAUAUUACACAAUGGGCGGAAGCCUGAUGCAGUGACGCCGCGUGGGGGAUGACGGCCUUCGGGUUGUAAACUCCUUUCGACCGCGAGGAAGCCACCUGGUUGGAAGGGUGGUGACGGUAGUGGUAGAAGAAGCACCGGCUAACUACGUG
This 494-nucleotide ribosomal RNA is filed under the name uncultured bacterium. Its description in RNAcentral is "partial 16S ribosomal RNA". It matches the Rfam family "Bacterial small subunit ribosomal RNA", at positions 28 to 507 of the family's 1533-position model. The record is from RNAcentral.